Non-coding RNA from Anopheles melas, 179 nucleotides. The record is from Rfam. Lineage: Eukaryota; Metazoa; Arthropoda; Insecta; Diptera; Culicidae.
ACCGGACAUAUGCUUCGCAAUGAGAUAUGAUCUGUAGCUCCAAUGAGGGAUAAUAUAGGCUCUCCUAUUCAACUCCUAUCCGAAUGUCCCUGUUCGUGGUAACAUAUGUCACCACAUAUCCAUGCUUGGGUACAUGAACUGGCGAAGCAGUAGGAGGAUGGGUAUCCUAUGAAUGUCGG